Molecule: transfer RNA, 74 nt
Filed under: Schizostauron trachyderma
Lineage: Eukaryota; Bacillariophyta; Bacillariophyceae; Naviculales; Stauroneidaceae
Description: tRNA-His
Rfam family: tRNA
About the family: Transfer RNA (tRNA) molecules are approximately 80 nucleotides in length. Their secondary structure includes four short double-helical elements and three loops (D, anti-codon, and T loops).
Source: RNAcentral
GCGUGUAUAACUCAGUUGGUUAGAGUGUCAGACUGUGGUUCUGAAAGUCACAGGUUCAAAUCCUGUUACUCGCC